Molecule: ribosomal RNA, 359 nt
Filed under: uncultured soil bacterium
Lineage: Bacteria
Description: bacterial SSU rRNA
Rfam family: Bacterial small subunit ribosomal RNA
Source: RNAcentral
AGAACGAACGCUGGCGGCAUGCCUAAUACAUGCAAGUCGAACGAACACUUCGGUGUUAGUGGCGCACGGGUGCGUAACGCGUGGGAAUCUGCCCUUGGGUUCGGAAUAACAGUUGGAAACGACUGCUAAUACCGGAUGAUGACGAAAGUCCAAAGAUUUAUCGCCCAGGGAUGAGCCCGCGUAGGAUUAGCUAGUUGGUGAGGUAAAGGCUCACCAAGGCGACGAUCCUUAGCUGGUCUGAGAGGAUGAUCAGCCACACUGGGACUGAGACACGGCCCAGACUCCUACGGGAGCAGCAGUAGGGAAUAUUGGACAAUGGGCGCAAGCCUGAUCCAGCAAUGCCGCGUGAGUGAUGAAGG